Molecule: ribosomal RNA, 424 nt
Filed under: uncultured bacterium
Lineage: Bacteria
Description: bacterial SSU rRNA
Rfam family: Bacterial small subunit ribosomal RNA
Source: RNAcentral
UGGGGGAUAUUGCACAAUGGGGGGAACCCUGAUGCAGCGACGCCGCGUGGGUGAAGGAGCGUUUCGGCGCGUAAAGCCCUAUCGGCAGGGAAGACAGGGGGAGGCGGAAGCCUGCCCGGACGGUACCUGACUAAGAAGCCCCGGCUAACUACGUGCCAGCAGCCGCGGUAAUACGUAGGGGGCAAGCGUUAUCCGGAUUUACUGGGUGUAAAGGGAGCGUAGACGGCAUGGCAAGCCUGGAGUGAAAGCCCGGGGCCCAACCCCGGGACUGCUCUGGGAACUGCCAGGCUGGAGUGCAGGAGGGGUAGGCGGAAUUCCUAGUGUAGCGGUGAAAUGCGUAGAUAUUAGGAGGAACACCGGUGGCGAAGGCGGCCUACUGGACUGUAACUGACGUUGAGGCUCGAAAGCGUGGGGAGCAAACAGG